RNAcentral lists this long non-coding RNA (650 nucleotides) under Dasypus novemcinctus (nine-banded armadillo). Its description in RNAcentral is "lncRNA (ENSDNOG00000050628.1)". The record is from RNAcentral. Lineage: Eukaryota; Metazoa; Chordata; Mammalia; Cingulata; Dasypodidae.
GGCAAAUGGAACCACCUGAAUUCGAACAAGCGCCUGAUUCGAAGGACCUCCCAUUCAUGAGGGAUGACACAUUUUAGGAGUCCAAGUUUAAAUCGGCAGUAACCUAAGAAGACGGGCUGAAGGAACACGGACUCUGCAGAACAACCAGGCAGCUUUCAGACAACGACGUGACCUGCAGAGCACGCUGGGGCUGCCUAGCAUCUCGGACCCCGCCCGGGAGCGGACCCCACUGCCGGGUGGCACGCUCCCUGCCGCCGAGAGAGCUGAGCCAGGCGCUGCAGCCUGGGCUCCGCAGUGGUGACGCUAGAGAACGGUCCCCUGGGAGUUCCCGAAGCACACUGAGAGGCACCGUGGUGGGGAAUGCUGGAGAGGAGAUGCCUGCAGGAGAAGGGGAGCCGCGGAGCCGGAGCCAGCGGCCCCGUCCAGUGCUGCCGCUGCUUUCAGGCUGUGCACCUUGGGGCCAGGAGCUGUGCCUCUCUGCUUCCGUCAAAUGGCACCCUGACACCUCCUCCAUAGGAUCAACUCAGGCCGCCGUGGGCCCUCGAUAAAUGCUAGUUUUCACCGCGUCCCAGGCCUCUGUGGCUGUUACGUAAAUGGCAGGCAAGCGGAUCAGGCUAAGUAAACAAGGCUGGGACACCCUCUUGCAAAUG